RNAcentral lists this small RNA (855 nucleotides) under Medicopsis romeroi. RNAcentral describes it as "eukaryotic LSU rRNA". It matches the Rfam family "Eukaryotic large subunit ribosomal RNA", at positions 50 to 920 of the family's 3401-position model. Lineage: Eukaryota; Fungi; Ascomycota; Dothideomycetes; Pleosporales; Neohendersoniaceae. The record is from RNAcentral.
GCGGAGGAAAAGAAACCAACAGGGAUUGCCCUAGUAACGGCGAGUGAAGCGGCAACAGCUCAAAUUUGAAAUCUGGCUCUAUUUUGGAGUCCGAGUUGUAAUUUGUAGAGGGCGCUUUGGCGUCGGCAGCGGUCUAAGUUCCUUGGAACAGGACGUCACAGAGGGUGAGAAUCCCGUAUGUGGUCGCGUGCCUUCGCCGUGUAAAGCCCCUUCGACGAGUCGAGUUGUUUGGGAAUGCAGCUCUAAAUGGGAGGUAAAUUUCUUCUAAAGCUAAAUACUGGCCAGAGACCGAUAGCGCACAAGUAGAGUGAUCGAAAGAUGAAAAGCACUUUGGAAAGAGAGUCAAAAAGCACGUGAAAUUGUUGAAAGGGAAGCGCUUGCAGCCAGACUUGCCUGCGGUUGCUCAUCCGGGCUCUCGCCCGGUGCACUCUUCCGUAGGCAGGCCAGCAUCAGUUUGGGCGGCUGGAUAAAGGCCUCUGUCAUGUACCUUCCCUCGGGAAGGCCUUAUAGGGGAGGCGUAAUGCAGCCAGCCUGGACUGAGGUCCGCGCAUUUGCUAGGAUGCUGGCGUAAUGGCUGUAAGCGGCCCGUCUUGAAACACGGACCAAGGAGUCUAACAUCUAUGCGAGUGUUUGGGUGUCAAGCCCGGGCGCGCAAUGAAAGUGAACGGAGGUGGGAACCCUUUGCGGGGUGCACCAUCGACCGAUCCUGAUGUCUUCGGAUGGAUUUGAGUAAGAGCAUAGCUGUUGGGACCCGAAAGAUGGUGAACUAUGCUUGAAUAGGGUGAAGCCAGAGGAAACUCUGGUGGAGGCUCGCAGCGGUUCUGACGUGCAAAUCGAUCGUCAAAUUUGGGCUAG